This 257-nucleotide ribosomal RNA is filed under the name uncultured Pseudomonas sp. Its description in RNAcentral is "partial 16S ribosomal RNA". It matches the Rfam family "Bacterial small subunit ribosomal RNA", at positions 96 to 355 of the family's 1533-position model. Lineage: Bacteria; Pseudomonadati; Pseudomonadota; Gammaproteobacteria; Pseudomonadales; Pseudomonadaceae. The record is from RNAcentral.
CGGCGGACGGGUGAGUAAUGCCUAGGAAUCUGCCUGGUAGGGGGGGACAACGUUUCGAAAGGAACGCUAAUACCGCAUACGUCCUACGGGAGAAAGCAGGGGACCUUCGGGCCUUGCGCUAUCAGAUGAGCCUAGGUCGGAUUAGCUAGUUGGUGAGGUAAUGGCUCACCAAGGCGACGAUCCGUAACUGGUCUGAGAGGAUGAUCAGUCACACUGGAACUGAGACACGGUCCAGACUCCUACGGGAGGCAGCAGUC